Molecule: long non-coding RNA, 336 nt
Organism: Eptesicus fuscus (big brown bat)
Lineage: Eukaryota; Metazoa; Chordata; Mammalia; Chiroptera; Vespertilionidae
Exons: 4
Source: RefSeq, a predicted model, not a curated record
GCCUGCGGUGUAAAACCGAUGAGGAAACUAAGUCCCAGUGGAUUGUUUAAUUCCACAGAGCUGGUCAGCAGGGAAAACCCAACCUGUGACCUUUGUUAUUGGAGAUAACCUGAGAAAGUGCCAUGGAGUAUGAGAGAGGUUACCUCACUUCCAAGACAGCAGUGAGGACCAUUAUAUGGAUAUGCCAAGAAGAUGCAUUUGACUUCAUUAAUUACUCAAAAGAAAAGAAUAUUGAGAACCCAGACUUGUGAGGAAGAGAUUGUGGAGGGAGGAAUUGACAUAAUGCAUUCAUAUCCAGAUCUGAAGACUUGGAAUGGAUGGGAAUGUUUUGAGUAA